GACGAACGCUGGCGGCGUGCUUAACACAUGCAAGUCGAACGGAAAGGCCCUUCGGGGUACUCGAGUGGCGAACGGGUGAGUAACACGCGGGUGAUCUGCCCUGCACUUUGGGAUAAGCCUGGGAAACUGGGUCUAAUACCGAAUAGGACCACGCGCUUCAUGGUGUGUGGUGGAAAGCUUUUGCGGUGUGGGAUGGGCCCGCGGCCUAUCAGCUUGUUGGUGGGGUAAUGGCCUACCAAGGCGACGACGGGUAGCCGGCCUGAGAGGGUGACCGGCCACACUGGGACUGAGAUACGGCCCAGACUCCUACGGGAGGCAGCAGUGGGGAAUAUUGCACAAUGGGCGCAAGCCUGAUGCAGCGACGCCGCGUGAGGGAUGACGGCCUUCGGGUUGUAAACCUCUUUCAAUAGGGACGAAGCGCAAGUGACGGUACCUAUAGAAGAAGCACCGGCCAACUACGUG
RNAcentral lists this ribosomal RNA (462 nucleotides) under uncultured bacterium. RNAcentral describes it as "partial 16S ribosomal RNA". It matches the Rfam family "Bacterial small subunit ribosomal RNA", at positions 28 to 507 of the family's 1533-position model. The record is from RNAcentral.